UCGCGCUGCCAGCAGCUUCCGCCUGCUGCGGUCCUGGCAAGCACCUCGGGAUCUCAUUCCUUCACAGGGGCCCUAGCCGGUUAAAGCUGAUACAUUCCUGUGGGUCAACUAUGCAACUAACUCAGAUUUUGAGCAAACAAAGCUCUCAAGUUGGUGAUCCUCAGGAGUCUCUGCAUUAGUUGGACAGCUCUUCUGGAAUUAUCUUCUAAGUCAACUGUGGGUUGGGUAGGUGGCUCUGCUGAUUUUUUGCUGGACUUCCACAUUUGGGACCAGUUGGCUGUCAUCAGCUCUAGAAAGGGUGUGGCUGUUUUACAUUGGCUGUUUUCCUCACAUUCCUCAAGCAGGUACUGUAAUAAAGAACUGGAGAAAUAAAGUCAGAUGGGAAGUAGCCCCUGCUGUCAAGGAGCUUGCCAUCUAAUGGGGGAGACAGGCAAGUAAACCAAAGACUACACAGUGCAGUAUGAAUUUCCUUUUCAUCACUUGUAAAAGUCAACUCUCUAACUACUGCAUCUCACAGCUGAACAGAUAACUGAUACCGUGCUUCCAGAAGAUUUUUCUAACAGUGUUUGCAGGCUAUAAAAUAGUGCUUUCACUUAGAAAAGGCCAGACAUGGUGGUUCAUGCCUGUAAUCCCUAGCACUUUGAGAGGCCAAGGCACCAUGCCGGGAGAUAAGGAUC
Molecule: long non-coding RNA, 677 nt
Filed under: Pongo abelii (Sumatran orangutan)
Lineage: Eukaryota; Metazoa; Chordata; Mammalia; Primates; Hominidae
Description: lincRNA
Source: RNAcentral